UAAUCCUAAGAAGAAAUUUAAAAGUUAAGAGUUGGAAAGAUCUGACCAAUGGGAUGCAAUCCAACAGACAAGAAUGUCAUAUAGAAACACAAUUUCCCUUUGGACUUUAAAUCAAGCAAUGUCAAUAAGCAAGUAGCAUAAUGAAGAGCAAGUCAUCAAAUAAAGAUAGCCACAUGCAAGCAAGCAACUUCAUAGUCUUCUUCUUCUCAUGUAUCAG
RNAcentral lists this long non-coding RNA (217 nucleotides) under Lathyrus oleraceus (garden pea). Its description in RNAcentral is "Pisum sativum (pea) long non-coding RNA (PSAT_LNC006701)". The record is from RNAcentral. Lineage: Eukaryota; Viridiplantae; Streptophyta; Magnoliopsida; Fabales; Fabaceae.